UAAGGAAUAUUGGACAAUGGCGGCAACGCUGAUCCAGCUAUCCCGCGUGCAGGAUGAAGGGGCUACGCCUUGUAAACUGCUUUGGACUGAGACGAAAAAAUGGGAUUCUUCCCAUAUUGACGGUAUCAGUAGAACAAGCACCGGCUAACUCCGUGCCAGCAGCCGCGGUAAUACGGAGGGUGCAAGCGUUAUCCGGAAUCACUGGGUGUAAAGGGUGCGUAGGCGGCCUGUUAAGUCAGGAGUGAAAGGCCACAGCUUAACUGUGGGAUUGCUUUUGAUACUGGCGGGCUUGGAUUAGGACGAGGUUGGCGGAAUGUGGCAAGUAGCGGUGAAAUGCAUAGAUAUGCCAUAGAAUACCGAUUGCGAAGGCAGCUGACUAGACCUAUAUUGACGCUGAGGCACGAAAGCGUGGGGAGCGAACAGG
Molecule: ribosomal RNA, 424 nt
Filed under: uncultured bacterium
Lineage: Bacteria
Description: bacterial SSU rRNA
Rfam family: Bacterial small subunit ribosomal RNA
Source: RNAcentral